AAAGAGACAUGAGUCAUUCGUGUGGAGAAAGUACAACACAAGUAGACCUGUAUGGUUUACAAGUUUAAAAGAAGUGACACACGUGCAUGUGCUUAGUCACGGUCAAUAUUAAAAAGAUGUGUAUGAUCUUCAUGUUCCAUUCCUAGAUUGCAUGUUAUGUACUUGUGUUUUAAAGAUUGAUAUGACGAAGGCAUUUCAUUCUGCUAUCCAAAUGUUGUGUCAUCCUUUGUUAUCUCUUUUGAGCUUUUGUUUUAUUUCUUUUAUAUCCCUCUUUUGGAAUCAAAAUAGAGUCUGAAAAAAAAAUAAAAAAAAAGUGUCAAGAAAAAGAAUAGAGUCAGAAAAGUGUCAAGAAAAAAUAGAGUCAGAAAAAAUAUCUCUCUCUAUAAAAAAAAGAAAAAAAGAGAGAGAAUAGUCAAGAAAAGAAAAAAAAUGAAAAUCAAGCAAAAGAACAAGAUAUCUAAACUACGUUUGACCUGAUUCUUGCUAUGACAAGAUACGUAGGUAGCCCUACUCUGGGGUUCGGUCCAACCAAAAGAAAAUUUAAAUUACUCAGAAUGAAAUGAAACUGGGGCAAAGUUUAUUUCCUUAAAAAAGUCGAUUCCAAAAGUUGUAUGUUUCACCCAAUAUUAUGUAAAUUUUUUAGCCACAUGCCUCCAUUUCUUUCUAACCUUUUCCAAAAGCCAAGUUACAACCAAAGAAAGACGUUCAGAUUGAUCUUUGAGAAUGUCAAGGCUAAACAUGUUAUGGGAGCAUGAUGUUUCUUAUGAUGGGCAUUAUUUUCAAAAAAAAAAAUUGAAUGAAAAAAAAUGAAUGAGUAAAAAUGAGAGAGUCUUAUUGGUGAAAACCCUUUUGGGCACCAUAAGGCAACAGUGAGUUGAGAAAGAAAUGAAAAUGAGAUAGGCGUUAGCAAAAACCCAUUGAGGUGCCACUAGCCAAAGGAGAAUUGUGAUCUAGAGGGAGCAUAUUCAAGAUUGAUUUCAUUUCAAACUCAAUAAGUGGACAAGAGUUGUAAUGAUUAGUAUGGGUAGAUCCGGUUGUUUAAUUCAAAAUGCAUGUCAUGAUUGCUGGAAUUGGCUACCACACCCAAAUAAGUUUUCUUCUGUCGUUUAAAAAAAAAAGAAAAAAAAUGUCUAUUGUUUUUCCCUUUUCUUUUUAUUUUUCUAUUUUUGAUUUUUGAUAUCUCAGUCAUCAAAUAAAAAUUACUGUCAUUUUUCUCGUGUCUUUGAGUCGAGUCCAUGUCAUAACAAGUGAGAAAAUAUUUCAAAACUGGCUACCAGCUUCUUCAAUUGCAUAAAGUAAGACAAAAAGCCAACACAUAAAAGUGACAUGAUUGUGAGCCAGAAUAAGGCAUGCAGAAAGUUUUGUCAACAAACGAGUCUGGGAACUCAUGAAAAUACUAAGGUUCAAAGAGUUUAUUUGAGAAGCAUGAAAAAGCAGAGAUGCUGUGUUUGUUUCAAAGUCACUUCUGAUAAUAUAAGUUUGGGUCAAUGAUGCAGCAAGUCGAUGAUGGAUGCUAAUGGUUGGAAGCAAGGUUAAAUAUGACGAGGGCAAGAAUGAUUACCACAAAAGCUAAAGCCACAAACCUACCACCAUGUUUUUGAACUUACAAGUUUUCUUUGAUGAAACAGGAAAUAUGUUACUUUCAACUCAAGAACUUCAGAGUAUAAAUAUCAAGAGCUGCAAUGCCUCAUUUCAACAAAUGCAGGAAGCAAUGUUAUUGCACAGGUUUGAUAAUCAAAUUAUGAUAAAAAAAAAUUGUCAUUAUAUAUCCCUAAAAAGUAUACUUCUUUGUUCAGGUAUUUCAGUUUUAAUUGCUAGAUGAUAUAUUUCUUAAAUUGAACCGUGAUUCCUAUAAGACGAACCUUUUAGUCGAGUCAUCCCCUUGAUUCCUAUAAGACGUAUCUUUUAUUCGAGUCAUCCUCUUGAUUCCUAAGACGUACCUUUUAGUCGAGUCAUCCCUCUUGAUUCCUAUGAGACGUACCUUUUAGUCGAAUUAUUUUCUAAGUAUAAACUGGGCCAAAAAUUUUGUUCGUGUUCAUUGAAUUUUAUAUUCUGCUCAGAACCCUCCUAAAGAAUUGGAUGUUAUUUUUUGUUUGUUUGUUUGACCUUUUAUUUUGAGUUCAGGAACAUAUUUUGAAAAAUCAAAAAUUGUAAGUCCAGGAGCCUGCCUGAAGAACAAAGUGAAGAAAAAAGGAAGUCCAGAAACCCGCCUGAAGAACAGGGUGAAGAAGUAAGUUCAGGAGCCAGCCUGAAGAACAGGGUGAAGAAAUUGUAAGUCCAGGAGCCCGCCUGAAGAACAGGGUAAAGAAAUUGUAAGUUCAGGAGCCCGCCUAAAGAACAGGGUGAAGAAAAAGGAAGCCAGGAGCCCGCCUGAAGAACAGAGUGAAGAAAUUGUAAGUCCAGGAGCCUGCCUGAAGAACAAGGUGAAGAAGUUGUAAGUCCAGGAGCCUGCCUGAAGAACAGGGUGAAGAAAUUGUAUGUCCAGGAGCCCGCCUAAAGAACAGGGUGAAGAAGUUGUAAGUCUAGGAGCCCGCCUGAAGAACAGAGUGAAGAAAUUGUAAGUCCAAGAGCCCGCCUAAAAAGCAAGGUGAAGAAACUAUAAGUUCAGGGGCCCGCCUGAAGAACAGGGUGAAGAAGUAACAAAUCAAGAGUAUGCCUGAAGAACAGGACGAAGGAAAAGCAAGCCAGGAGCCUGCUUGAAGAAUAGGGUGAAUUUUCAAGUUCAAGUCACAAAGAUUAGUAUCAAGAUUCUAGAGAUUGCAAUUUUCACUUGUAUUUUUCAUUUUUGAUUUUGUUAGUCAUUUGAUGUAAAAAGCAGAAAUCGUUAACCAAAAAUUCAAUGAAAUCUCACUUGAUGUCUAACUCAUUCUCUCACUAUAUUACCUUUGAACUACAUGUGACACAAUUUUCUUAUAACCCAGGAUAUGUAGGCGGUCCAAAAUUAGGACUCGGUCACACCUUUUAUUUUAUUAUAUUUUAUUUUAUCUUCACUAUUUUAAUAAUCGGAGGGUCAAAAAUCAUCUCUUUGUCUACUUCUUUGUAUGAAAACUCUUUGAGAUUUCAAACAAAGAGGGGCAAAAUGUAGACAAGUGAUUUUGAUCCUCCCCGAGUGUAAUAUAUAUAUAUAUUCUUUUCGAUAUUGAAUAUUUUUAUUUGAUUCGAUAUUAUUUUAAUUAUUAAUUUAUUUUUAGUAAAUUUUAGUUAAACAAUAAACAACUAAAUGAAUUUAAUUUUAGGAUAAUAAUUUAUUUUAUUCCAAUUUAAAAAAAAAAUAUAAUACAAAAAUUAAAAAAAUAUAUGUUUCUUUUUAAAUAAAUAAGUUAGUAGUUUUAAUACUAUCUUAAUUAUAUUUGUUUUUGGCUAUUUUUAAACUUUAAUUGUAUUAUCUUAAAUAUAAAAUUAAUUAUUUAUUAUUAUUAUUAUUAUUAUUUUUUAUUUUAAAAAUAAUUUAGUUAUUUAUUCUUGUUAUGGUUAUUAUUUUUUUAUAAUAAAAUUAAAAUUAAAUAAAAAUUUCAAAUUUUAAAAUCCUAAAACUACCCAACCUCCUCCCCUUAUCUGACUUCCCCCUUAACUGUUCCCCUAAUUCUUCCCCUAUUUAAGGACUCUACCUACGUACAUUCUACACUGUAUUACACAGCAUCAGACAACAUAGAAACCGAGAGAAAAAAAACAUAGAGUAAGAAAAAGAGAGAAAAAGAAGAAAGUGUAAGUUGGAGUUUUGUUGAAGUUUUCGGUGACAAUCUCUUGCGUAUUCAAUCAGGUUGAAAUACAGGUUCUAUUUUUAUCUUAUACUAUUGUUGUAAAUUUACUAUUAAAAAAAAAAAACAAGAAUGAAAAUUUGAAGUAACUUCAUGUAUCAUUGAUUAUGUGUGAUUGUUUGAUUAUAUGGAUCAUCUCUUACAACGUAUCAUACGACUAAAUUAUCGAAUAUUUAUAUAUUUGAAAAUGGAUGUGUUAGGAAAAGAAAAUAGACGUAGUAAAUAUAUUUACAGAGCUUCACAAUCACUCAUACAGUUUCCUUCUUCCUAUUUUUCCAUGAUUACAGUAGAUUAACACAUACACGCACCAACACAGAAAAAAAAAGUAAAAAAAAAAAAAAGAUCAGAAACGGAGAACCUGUCACGGCACAAACAUCCCUCUUCUCUUUUCCACUAUGCUAUAUCGAAAUUAAUCAUCGGUGGCGCGAGUUUCGGAAAACACCACCACUUCCGAAAAUCCCCUCAAAUUUCAUCGACGGAUCAUCAAACUCAUCGGAUUUGGUCGCAUCGUUAUUUUCUUUUUUUCAUUCUCUUUCUGCUUUUGUUGUCAUAGGUUACUUUAGGGUAUUUGUUAAUUGGAAUUGUGAAUUUUUUAUUUUUUUUAGUGUAACUUUUAGAGUCCAUUUUUCU
RNAcentral lists this long non-coding RNA (4388 nucleotides) under Capsicum annuum. RNAcentral describes it as "long non-coding RNA (CANN_LNC000348)". Lineage: Eukaryota; Viridiplantae; Streptophyta; Magnoliopsida; Solanales; Solanaceae. The record is from RNAcentral.